Felis catus (domestic cat) is the source of this 506-nucleotide long non-coding RNA. RefSeq lists it as uncharacterized. The transcript is spliced from 3 exons. Lineage: Eukaryota; Metazoa; Chordata; Mammalia; Carnivora; Felidae. The record is from RefSeq and is a predicted model, not a curated record.
UCAAGUUCCAGCCUUCCCAAACCUUUUUCUUCUCAAGCCACUAUUCUGUCAAUCAUUUCCUUUACUGUCAAAUGUUUGGAAAAGGUGGUUUGUACUUGCUGGUCUCACUUCACCACAUUUACCAAUCAACCUCUAUGUUCUGGUGACCACAUUCACCUAUUCAAACAAAUUGUUUCUCAAAGGUCACCCGCAGACAGAUUCAGGACUCUCUUCUCAGACCACAUCCUGCUUGGGCAUUCUGUAACGGUUGAUCUGAUGGGCAAGUCUAAGACCGCAGAAGUGGAAGACUUGGUUCAAAUUGUGGGUCCUGCAGGAGCAUGGUGACUUACAUUUCCUAGGGCUUCCCAGGGAGAUGGGACUCUGCAGGGCCUUUUACAUGAGAGCUUUGGUGGGCCUGAGUUUUGAGCUCCUGAAGAAUUUGUUGACAAACGAAGUCCGGGGUUUGGUUUCUCCAUCUGAGGAAUUUUUCUUCCUUCUUUGACUCAUGGUCAAGUUGAAAGUGGUCU